RNAcentral lists this ribosomal RNA (480 nucleotides) under uncultured bacterium. RNAcentral describes it as "partial 16S ribosomal RNA". It matches the Rfam family "Bacterial small subunit ribosomal RNA", at positions 28 to 523 of the family's 1533-position model. The record is from RNAcentral.
GACGAACGCUGGCGGCGUGCUUAACACAUGCAAGUCGAACGGUGAAAGGGAGCUUGCUCCCUGGAUCAGUGGCGAACGGGUGAGUAACACGUGGGCAACAUGCCCAGACUUCGGGAUAACGCCUCGAAAGAGGCGCUAAUACAGGAUACGAACUCCUUGGGCAUCCUUGGAGUUGGAAAGUUUUUCGGUCUGGGAUGGGCCCGCGGCCUAUCAGCUUGUUGGUGAGGUAACGGCUCACCAGGGCGACGACUGGUCGCCGGCCUGAGAGGGCGACCGGCCACACUGGGACUGAGACACGGCCCAGACUCCUACGGGAGGCAGCAGUGGUGAAUAUUGCGCAAUGGGCGAAAGCCUGACGCAGCAACGCCGCGUGAGGGAUGACGGCCUUCGGGUUGUAAACCUCUUUCAGCAGGGAAGAAGCGAAAGUGACGGUACCUGCAGAAGAAGCACCGGCUAACUACGUGCCAGCAGCCGCCGUAA